UUCUUUAAAUGAGGACCAGUAUCAACGGCAUCACGAGGAUCCUACUGUCUCCCCCCUCUAAUCAGUGAAACUGAUCUCUCCGUGAAGAAGCGGGGAUGAAUCUAUAAGACGAGAAGACCCCAUGGAGCUUUAAACCCGACAGCACCCGCUUACUUUAUACCUAAUUAUAUGCCCGUUGCCUGUCUGCUCGGUUUUAGGUUGGGGUGACCACGGAGUACAAAAUAACCUCCAUGAAAAAGGGGAUAAAUACCCUUAUUAGAGAACAACACUUCCAAAAACUAACAAAUUAAUUUCUAAUGAUCCGACAUUCGAUCAACGAACCAAGUUACCCUGGGGAUAACAGCGCAAUCCACCCCGAGAGCUCCUAU
This 368-nucleotide ribosomal RNA is filed under the name Boophis sp. 42 MV-2009. Its description in RNAcentral is "partial 16S ribosomal RNA". It matches the Rfam family "Bacterial large subunit ribosomal RNA", at positions 1972 to 2505 of the family's 2925-position model. The record is from RNAcentral. Lineage: Eukaryota; Metazoa; Chordata; Amphibia; Anura; Mantellidae.